UACGAAGGGGGCGAGCGUUGUUCGGAUUUACUGGGCGUAAAGGGCGCGCAGGCGGUGAGGUAAGUCGGAUGUGAAAUCCCGGGGCUCAACCCCGGAACUGCAUUCGAUACUGCUUUACUUGAGGACUGGAGAGGAGAUUGGAAUUCACGGUGUAGCAGUGAAAUGCGUAGAUAUCGUGAGGAAGACCAGUGGCGAAGGCGAAUCUCUGGACAGAUCCUGACGCUGAGGCACGAAGGCUAGGGGAGCAAACGGG
Molecule: ribosomal RNA, 253 nt
Filed under: uncultured bacterium
Lineage: Bacteria
Description: partial 16S ribosomal RNA
Rfam family: Bacterial small subunit ribosomal RNA
Source: RNAcentral